Molecule: ribosomal RNA, 653 nt
Filed under: Bradyrhizobium sp. Ad271
Lineage: Bacteria; Pseudomonadati; Pseudomonadota; Alphaproteobacteria; Hyphomicrobiales; Nitrobacteraceae
Description: bacterial SSU rRNA
Rfam family: Bacterial small subunit ribosomal RNA
Source: RNAcentral
ACGUCAGCGGCAGACGGGUGAGUCACGCGUGGGAACAUACCUCUUGGUUCGGAACAACACAGGGAAACUUGUGCUAAUACCGGAUAAGCCCUUACGGGGAAAGAUUUAUCGCCGAGAGAUUGGCCCGCGUCUGAUUAGCUAGUUGGUAGGGUAAUGGCCUACCAAGGCGACGAUCAGUAGCUGGUCUGAGAGGAUGAUCAGCCACAUUGGGACUGAGACACGGCCCAAACUCCUACGGGAGGCAGCAGUGGGGAAUAUUGGACAAUGGGGGCAACCCUGAUCCAGCCAUGCCGCGUGAGUGAUGAAGGCCCUAGGGUUGUAAAGCUCUUUUGUGCGGGAAGAUAAUGACGGUACCGCAAGAAUAAGCCCCGGCUAACUUCGUGCCAGCAGCCGCGGUAAUACGAAGGGGGCUAGCGUUGCUCGGAAUCACUGGGCGUAAAGGGUGCGUAGGCGGGUUUUUAAGUCAGGGGUGAAAUCCUGGAGCUCAACUCCAGAACUGCCUUUGAUACUGAAGAUCUUGAGUCCGGGAGAGGUGAGUGGAACUGCGAGUGUAGAGGUGAAAUUCGUAGAUAUUCGCAAGAACACCAGUGGCGAACGCGGCUCACUGGCCCGGUACUGACGCUGAGGCACGAAAGCGUGGGGAGCAAACAGGA